This 434-nucleotide long non-coding RNA is filed under the name Gossypium raimondii (Peruvian cotton). Its description in RNAcentral is "long non-coding RNA (GRAI_LNC008933)". Lineage: Eukaryota; Viridiplantae; Streptophyta; Magnoliopsida; Malvales; Malvaceae. The record is from RNAcentral.
AACUUGAAUUUUUUUUUCAAAUUUCGAGUUCGAAUUGAGUUUAGUUUUCGAAUUCGAAUAACGUGAAUAAUUCGAAUAUCAAACUAUAAUAUUUUACAUUUUUACCCCAAACUCCCAAACCUUUUUACUUUUCCCUCAAAACUUUUACUCCUUCCCACUUUCCCCCCAAAACUUUUACUCCCCUCCCCUCCUAACCCCCCAAUCUACCCAAAAUUCAUUUCCCACCAAAAUUUUACUCUCCCAUUUACUUUUUCUCAAAAUUUUACUCCCCAAAACCCUCAAAACCUUUUAUUUUUCCCCAAAAUUUUUACUCCCUCCCACUUUUUUCCCUAAAACUUUUAUUCCCUUCCCUUUCCACCUCUCAUCUACCCCAAACCCUCCCCCCUCUAAUUUUUUUUAAAUAUUUUCCCUCCAAAAUUUUACUCCCCCUAUUU